Molecule: ribosomal RNA, 468 nt
Filed under: uncultured bacterium
Lineage: Bacteria
Description: partial 16S ribosomal RNA
Rfam family: Bacterial small subunit ribosomal RNA
Source: RNAcentral
GACGAACGCUGGCGGCGUGCUUAACACAUGCAAGUCGAACGGAAAGGCCCUGCUUUUGUGGGGUGCUCGAGUGGCGAACGGGUGAGUAACACGUGAGUAACCUGCCCUUGACUUUGGGAUAACUUCAGGAAACUGGGGCUAAUACCGGAUAGGAGCUCCUGCUGCAUGGUGGGGGUUGGAAAGUUUCGGCGGUUGGGGAUGGACUCGCGGCUUAUCAGCUUGUUGGUGGGGUAGUGGCUUACCAAGGCUUUGACGGGUAACCGGCCUGAGAGGGUGACCGGCCACAUUGGGACUGAGAUACGGCCCAGACUCCUACGGGAGGCAGCAGUGGGGAAUAUUGCACAAUGGGCGGAAGCCUGAUGCAGCAACGCCGCGUGCGGGAUGACGGCCUUCGGGUUGUAAACCGCUUUCGCCUGUGACGAAGCGUGAGUGACGGUAAUGGGUAAAGAAGCACCGGCCAACUACGUG